This 686-nucleotide ribosomal RNA is filed under the name Streptomyces sp. MO.40. RNAcentral describes it as "bacterial SSU rRNA". It matches the Rfam family "Bacterial small subunit ribosomal RNA", at positions 50 to 753 of the family's 1533-position model. Lineage: Bacteria; Bacillati; Actinomycetota; Actinomycetes; Kitasatosporales; Streptomycetaceae. The record is from RNAcentral.
AACACAUGCAAGUCGAACGAUGAAGCCCUUCGGGGUGGAUUAGUGGCGAACGGGUGAGUAACACGUGGGCAAUCUGCCCUGCACUCUGGGACAAGCCCUGGAAACGGGGUCUAAUACCGGAUAUGACCAUCUUGGGCAUCCUUGAUGGUGUAAAGCUCCGGCGGUGCAGGAUGAGCCCGCGGCCUAUCAGCUUGUUGGUGAGGUAAUGGCUCACCAAGGCGACGACGGGUAGCCGGCCUGAGAGGGCGACCGGCCACACUGGGACUGAGACACGGCCCAGACUCCUACGGGAGGCAGCAGUGGGGAAUAUUGCACAAUGGGCGAAAGCCUGAUGCAGCGACGCCGCGUGAGGGAUGACGGCCUUCGGGUUGUAAACCUCUUUCAGCAGGGAAGAAGCGAAAGUGACGGUACCUGCAGAAGAAGCGCCGGCUAACUACGUGCCAGCAGCCGCGGUAAUACGUAGGGCGCAAGCGUUGUCCGGAAUUAUUGGGCGUAAAGAGCUCGUAGGCGGCUUGUCACGUCGAUUGUGAAAGCUCGGGGCUUAACCCCGAGUCUGCAGUCGAUACGGGCUAGCUAGAGUGUGGUAGGGGAGAUCGGAAUUCCUGGUGUAGCGGUGAAAUGCGCAGAUAUCAGGAGGAACACCGGUGGCGAAGGCGGAUCUCUGGGCCAUUACUGACGCUGAGGAG